GAUGAACGCUGGCGGCGUGCCUAAUACAUGCAAGUCGAGCGAACAGACGAGGAGCUUGCUCCUCUGACGUUAGCGGCGGACGGGUGAGUAACACGUGGAUAACCUACCUAUAAGACUGGAAUAACUUCGGGAAACCGGAGCUAAUACCGGAUAAUAUAUUGACACGCUUGGUUCAAUAGUGAAUGACGGUUUUGCUGUCACUUAUAGAUGGAUCCGCGCCGCAUUAGCUAGUUGGUAAGUUAACGGCUUACCAAGGCAACGAUGCGUGGCCGACCUGAGAGGGUGUAGGGCCACACUGGAACUGAGCCACGGUCCAGACACCGACGGGAGGCAGCAGUAGGGAAGCGUCCGCAAUGGGCGAAAGCUUGACGGAUCAACGGCGGGCGAGUGAUGAAGGUCUGCGGGUCGGAAAACGCUGUUAGUGGUGAAGACCAAAUGUGUAAGUAACUAUGCACUGCGUGACGGUACCUAAUCAGAAAGCCACGGCUAACUACGUG
This 497-nucleotide ribosomal RNA is filed under the name uncultured bacterium. Its description in RNAcentral is "partial 16S ribosomal RNA". It matches the Rfam family "Bacterial small subunit ribosomal RNA", at positions 28 to 507 of the family's 1533-position model. The record is from RNAcentral.